UACGUAGGGCGCAAGCGUUGUCCGGAAUUAUUGGGCGUAAAGAGCUCGUAGGCGGCUUGUCACGUCGGAUGUGAAAGCCCGGGGCUUAACCCCGGGUCUGCAUUCGAUACGGGCUAGCUAGAGUGUGGUAGGGGAGAUCGGAAUUCCUGGUGUAGCGGUGAAAUGCGCAGAUAUCAGGAGGAACACCGGUGGCGAAGGCGGAUCUCUGGGCCAUUACUGACGCUGAGGAGCGAAAGCGUGGGGAGCAAACAGG
This 253-nucleotide ribosomal RNA is filed under the name uncultured bacterium. RNAcentral describes it as "partial 16S ribosomal RNA". It matches the Rfam family "Bacterial small subunit ribosomal RNA", at positions 524 to 776 of the family's 1533-position model. The record is from RNAcentral.